This 506-nucleotide ribosomal RNA is filed under the name uncultured bacterium. RNAcentral's name for it is "partial 16S ribosomal RNA". It matches the Rfam family "Bacterial small subunit ribosomal RNA", at positions 30 to 523 of the family's 1533-position model. The record is from RNAcentral.
AUUGAACGCUGGCGGCAGGCCUAACACAUGCAAGUCGAGCGGCAGCGGAAAGUAGCUUGCUACUUUGCCGGCGAGCGGCGGACGGGUGAGUAAUGUCUGGGAAACUGCCUGAUGGAGGGGGAUAACUACUGGAAACGGUAGCUAAUACCGCAUAACGUCGCAAGACCAAAGAGGGGGACCUUCGGGCCUCUUGCCAUCAGAUGUGCCCAGAUGGGAUUAGCUAGUAGGUGGGGUAAUGGCUCACCUAGGCGACGAUCCCUAGCUGGUCUGAGAGGAUGACCAGCCACACUGGAACUGAGACACGGUCCAGACUCCUACGGGAGGCAGCAGUGGGGAAUAUUGCACAAUGGGCGCAAGCCUGAUGCAGCCAUGCCGCGUGUAUGAAGAGGGCCUUCGGGUUGUAAAGUACUUUCAGCGGGGAGGAAGGCGAUAAGGUUAAUAACCUUGUCGAUUGACGUUACCCGCAGAGGAAGCACCGGCUAACUCCGUGCCAGCCGCCGCUGUAA